CCUACGGGGGGCUGCAGUGGGGAAUAUUGCACAAUGGGGGAAACCCUGAUGCAGCGACGCCGCGUGAGUGAGGAAGUCUUUCGGUAUGUAAAGCUCUAUCAGCAGGGAAGAAAAUGACGGUACCUGACUAAGACGCCCCGGCUAACUACGUGCCAGCAGCCGCGGUAAUACGUAGGGGGCAAGCGUUAUCCGGAUUUACUGGGUGUAAAGGGAGCGUAGACGGUUAUGUAAGUCUGGAGUGAAAGCCUGGGGCCCAACCCCGGGACUGCUUUGGAAACUGUGUAACUGGAGUACAGGAGGGGCAGGCGGAAUUCCUGGUGUAGCGGUGAAAUGCGUAGAUAUCAGGAGGAACACCGGCGGCGAAGGCGGCCUGCUGGACUGAAACUGACGUUGAGGCUCGAAAGCGUGGGGAGCAAACAGGAUUAGAUACCCGGGUAGUC
RNAcentral lists this ribosomal RNA (440 nucleotides) under uncultured bacterium. RNAcentral's name for it is "partial 16S ribosomal RNA". It matches the Rfam family "Bacterial small subunit ribosomal RNA", at positions 338 to 795 of the family's 1533-position model. The record is from RNAcentral.